AUCCAGAUGACGACUCUCAAAUAGGACGAAAUGCGCAUCCUGGAU
This is a non-coding RNA of Trichobilharzia regenti, 45 nucleotides long. NCBI's taxonomy places the organism in Eukaryota, Metazoa, Platyhelminthes, Trematoda, Strigeidida, Schistosomatidae. The record is from Rfam.